Molecule: long non-coding RNA, 819 nt
Filed under: Ananas comosus (pineapple)
Lineage: Eukaryota; Viridiplantae; Streptophyta; Magnoliopsida; Poales; Bromeliaceae
Description: long non-coding RNA (ACOM_LNC028926)
Source: RNAcentral
AAAGCUAAAAUGAGUUUUUUUUUUUAUGAAAUAAUUGUCAAUAUACUCCUCAAAACUUAGAAAAUAUCUUAUUUAUUUAUUUUUUUUCUUUUCAAUAGAUUUCUUAUAUGUUCUUUUGUUAUUCCAAAAUAUUUCUACAGUUACCACCCAUUAAGUUAAUUUUGGUUAAACAUAAAUUAAAUAUCUGCUAGAGUGAAAAAAAUUAAAAUACCUAUUUUGUCCUUAAUUUAAGGGCGAAUAAAAAAUAUUGGUGAUGUAAGAAGGGUAUAAUGGAAAAGACGAAAAAUUAAAAUAUUUUUCAAUAGAGAUCAGUAACAAAAUUUAACUCUAGGGAUAUUUUUAAAAUAGGUUGGAACGUAAAUAGAAUAUUUUUAAUAUUAGCCUUAUAGGAGUAAAUCAGAAAAUUAAAAACUUUUUAAGGGUAUAUAAGCAAUUGUCCUUUUUUUAAAAAAAAAUUCGCUAUGAAGUUCCUGUACAGGCUUUAUGAAGAAAAAUGCUACUCCUACAUUCUAUUUAAGGUAUAUAUUUUAUACCAUUCAGAUCCAAGCGUUUAAAAAAAAAUUUAGAAUUUUUAGUAAAAUAUUUAUUUUUUUGAUAAGAUAAAUCGAUAAAUAAAAUUUUUAUAAAUAUCUAUAUUGAGAACAAUUCAUCUAAAAAAUAAAUAAAAUUUUUAUUUUGUUCAUUAUUUAUUAUGUGAAAAAACCUAUUAUCUAUUAUCUAUACUUUUUAAUUCACUUAUUUUUUUUACUUAAAAAAUUAAAAAUACAGUUGAAUAUAUGCUAAAUCAAAACUAAUUAAUUAUCAAAAAUUAAACUAUAC